AACGAACGCUGGCGGCAUGCCUAACACAUGCCAGUCGAACGAGACCUUCGGGUCUAGUGGCGCACGGGUGCGUAACGCGUGGGAACCUGCCCUUAGGUUCGGAAUAACUCCCCGAAAGGGGUGCUAAUACCGGAUAAUGUCUUCGGACCAAAGAUUUAUCGCCUUUGGAUGGGCCCGCGUUGGAUUAGCUAGUUGGUAGGGUAAAAGCCUACCAAGGCGACGAUGCGUAGCUGGUCUGAGAGGAUGAUCAGCAACACUGGGACUGAGACACGGCCCAGACUCCGACGGGAGGCAGCAGUAGGGAAGCUUCCGCAAUGGGCGGAAGGCUGACGGAGCAACGCCGCGUGAGUGAUGAAGGUCUUCGGAUCGUAAAACUCGGUUAUGAGGGAAGAACAAAUGUGUAAGUAACGAUGCACGUCUUGACGGUACCUAAACAGAAAGCCACGGCUAACUACGUG
Molecule: ribosomal RNA, 458 nt
Filed under: uncultured bacterium
Lineage: Bacteria
Description: partial 16S ribosomal RNA
Rfam family: Bacterial small subunit ribosomal RNA
Source: RNAcentral